Molecule: ribosomal RNA, 460 nt
Filed under: uncultured bacterium
Lineage: Bacteria
Description: partial 16S ribosomal RNA
Rfam family: Bacterial small subunit ribosomal RNA
Source: RNAcentral
CCUACGGGAGACAGCAGUGAGGAAUAUUGGUCAAUGGACGAGAGUCUGAACCAGCCAAGUAGCGUGAAGGAUGACUGCCCUAUGGGUUGUAAACUUCUUUUAUAUGGGAAUAAAAUGUUCCACGUGUGGGAUUUUGUAUGUACCAUAUGAAUAAGGAUCGGCUAACUCCGUGCCAGCAGCCGCGGUAAUACGGAGGAUCCGAGCGUUGUCCGGAUUUAUUGGGUUUAAAGGGAGCGUAGGUGGAUUGUUAAGUCAGUUGUGAAAGUUUGCGGUUCAACCGUAAAAGUGCAGUUGAAACUGGCAGUCUUGAGUGCAGUAGAGGUGGGCGGAAUUCGUGGUGUAGCGGUGAAAUGCUUAGAUAUCGCGAAGAACUCCGAUUGCGAAGGCAGUUCACUGGACUGCAACUGACACUGAGGCUCGAAAGUGUGGGUAUCGAACAGGAUUAGAUACCCCAGUAGUC